This 256-nucleotide ribosomal RNA is filed under the name uncultured bacterium. Its description in RNAcentral is "partial 16S ribosomal RNA". It matches the Rfam family "Bacterial small subunit ribosomal RNA", at positions 524 to 778 of the family's 1533-position model. The record is from RNAcentral.
UACGUAGGGUGCGAGCGUUAAUCGGAAUUACUGGGCGUAAAGCGUGCGCAGGCGGUUUUGUAAGCCGGAUGUGAAAUCCCCGGGCUUAACCUGGGAAUGGCAUUCGGGACUGCAAGGCUGGAGUGCGGCAGAGGAGACUGGAAUUCCUGGUGUAAGCAGUGAAAUGCGUAGAUAUCAGGAGGAACACCGAUGGCGAAGGCAGGUCUCUGGGCUGACACUGACGCUCAUGCACGAAAGCGUGGGGAGCAAACAGGGA